AUACGGAGGAUGCAAGCGUUAUCCGGAUUUAUUGGGUUUAAAGGGUGCGUAGGCGGAUGAUUAAGCGUGAGGUGAAAUGCCACUGCUCAACAGUGGAACUGCCUCGCGAACUGGUUGUCUUGAAUGCUCCUGCCGUGGGAGGAAUGUGUGGUGUAGCGGUGAAAUGCAUAGAGAUCACACAGAACACCGAUUGCGAAGGCAUCUCACGAAGGGGUGAUUGACGCUGAGGCACGAAAGCGUGGGGAUCAAACAGGAUUAGAUACCCUGGUAGUCCACGCAGUAAACGAUGAUAACUAACCGCUGGGUCGUAGUGAUUCAGUGGCCAAGCGAAAGCGAUAAGUUAUCCACCUGGGGAGUACGACCGCAAGGUUGAAACUUAAAGGAAUUGACGGGG
Molecule: ribosomal RNA, 394 nt
Filed under: uncultured bacterium
Lineage: Bacteria
Description: partial 16S ribosomal RNA
Rfam family: Bacterial small subunit ribosomal RNA
Source: RNAcentral